Haemorhous mexicanus (house finch) is the source of this 279-nucleotide long non-coding RNA. RefSeq lists it as uncharacterized. The transcript is spliced from 2 exons. The record is from RefSeq and is a predicted model, not a curated record. NCBI's taxonomy places the organism in Eukaryota, Metazoa, Chordata, Aves, Passeriformes, Fringillidae.
AUUGCAAGGGGAUUACAAUAUCAUGGAUUGGAGCCAAAGGAACUUUUGUCAAUGGUGAUGACAUACAGACUUCAAGUGACUUCUGACAGCAAUUAAUUGCUCCAUAAUUUUUGAUGAUUAAGGAAAAAACCCAUUCAGACUAGAAGAAGCAGGAUGUAUAGAUACAGACUGGUACCUCCACUAUGACAACUGUUGUUGACCCUUUGUUGACCACUGCCAUCAUUCCAUUUUUUCUUUUUCCUCUUUUCAGUCAAUAAUAAAGCUUGAAAUUUAGCAACA